Molecule: unclassified non-coding RNA, 277 nt
Filed under: Hevea brasiliensis (rubber tree)
Lineage: Eukaryota; Viridiplantae; Streptophyta; Magnoliopsida; Malpighiales; Euphorbiaceae
Source: RNAcentral
AAUGGUCCACAUCAUGGCCCACCUGCCAGAUUAAUUAAUGAAAUUUUUAUAGCUAUGUAGAUGAGUUUUACAUCACAUUGAGAGCAACUAGACCAGUGUCAUCAAAGGCGAGCCAAGCGCCCAUGCGAGGCGAGACACUCCUCUGUCGCCUCUAUUGGAACGCCUGGCUGGGCUUUAGGGAGGCCUCAUCAAAGCAACGGUAAAUUUUUUUUUUUUUUUAAAUGAAUCAAGUUUAAUUGAAACACAUACACAGGGGAAGGAGAAAGGCCAAAGCACA